GGGGAUUUGGCUCAGUGGUAGAGCACUUGCCUAGCAAGCACAAGGCCCUGGGUUCGGUCCCCAGCUCUG
Non-coding RNA from Rattus norvegicus (Norway rat), 69 nucleotides. Lineage: Eukaryota; Metazoa; Chordata; Mammalia; Rodentia; Muridae. The record is from Rfam.